RNAcentral lists this ribosomal RNA (923 nucleotides) under uncultured Bacteroidota bacterium. Its description in RNAcentral is "bacterial SSU rRNA". It matches the Rfam family "Bacterial small subunit ribosomal RNA", at positions 50 to 975 of the family's 1533-position model. Lineage: Bacteria; Pseudomonadati; Bacteroidota. The record is from RNAcentral.
UAUACAUGCAAGUUGAACGGGAUUAAGUAGCAAUACUUAUGAGAGUAGCGCACGGCUGCGUAACGCGUAUGCAAUCUACCUUUAACUGGGGAAUAGCCCAAAGAAAUUUGGAUUAAUACCGCAUAACAUUAUUGAAUGGCAUCAUUUAAUAAUCAAAACUACGGUGGUUAAAGAUGAGCAUGCGUGACAUUAGCUAGUUGGUGAGGUAAUGGCUCACCAAGGCUCCGAUGUCUAGGGGGUCUGAGAGGAUGAUCCCCCACACUGGUACUGAGACACGGACCAGACUCCUACGGGAGGCAGCAGUAAGGAAUAUCGGUCAAUGGACGCAAGUCUGAACCAGCCAUGCCGCGUGCAGGAUGACUGCCCUAUGGGUUGUAAACUGCUUUUGUACGGGAAGAAACCCCUCUACGUGUAGAGGGUUGACGGUACCGUAAGAAUAAGGAUCGGCUAACUCCGUGCCAGCAGCCGCGGUAAUACGGAGGAUCCAAGCGUUAUCCGGAUUUAUUGGGUUUAAAGGGUGCGUAGGCGGCCUAUUAAGUCAGUGGUGAAAGCCCGGAGCUUAACUCCAGAACUGCCAUUGAUACUGAUGGGCUUGAGUAUAGUUGAGGUGGGCGGAAUGUGUCAUGUAGCGGUGAAAUGCUUAGAUAUGACACAGAACACCGAUUGCGAAGGCAGCUCGCUAAACUAUAACUGACGCUGAGGCACGAAAGCGUGGGUAGCAAACAGGAUUAGAUACCCUGGUAGUCCACGCCCUAAACGUUGAUUACUCGAUGUGUGCGAUACACUGUACGCGUCUAAGCGAAAGCAUUAAGUAAUCCACCUGGGGAGUACGGUCGCAAGACUGAAACUCAAAGGAAUUGACGGGGGCCCGCACAAGCGGAGGAGCAUGUGGUUUAAUUCGAUGAUACGCGAGGAACCUUACC